GGCCCACUUGGAAUAUUCUGGGUUUUCCAAUUCAAUAACAGAAUGGAUACACAGUAACAAAAAGGGAGUCUUCCCAAUUAACACACCCAGAAGUCUCACACGACACACACUGCCAUACACAUACUCUCACCGACAGGAACACACACUCUCACCGGCCGAAAAAUACACGCGCACAGUAAACGAAGAGCAACACAGUGAGAACGAAAGAGAGAGAAAUAACCAGAGAAAGAAUCGGAGAGAAAGAACAAUUGAGGAGAGGGGGUGUUUUCUCCGAUGAGUUUAGCCUGAGAAUCGCUGCCAAAAACCCUAAAAAAAACACGGUUGAGCCACUGUUCCGUCAAGACUCACCGGAAAACGAACACAUCAACCGUAUUUCGGCCAAACCCACAUCGAACAGCUUUCAUCUCUUAUUUUUUUAGUUUAAAUCUCGCCGGAAAACAUUUAUUCCGGCCACCAGAUCGUAUGAAUCGGUUGUUUUAGGUUGACUUCGGUUGAGUCUCGUCGAAAACUGUCACACAGGGGGUCUGUUUUUCCCUUUCAAGCUUCAAUUUUAACUUCGGGUUUCAUUUGUUAUUCGUGAAGUCUUGUUCGGAUUGGAUUUCGAGAUUUUUCCGUUGGAAUUGGUUUGUUGUGAGGUCGGAUUUGAGGUUUUUCGAGUGCGGUGUUAUCUCCAAUAUAUUGAAAUCGAUAUUUGAGAUCCAAUUCUAACUCUCUCUUUUCGUUUUGUUUGAUUUGGUGCAUUGAUGUAUGAUUGUGAGUUGUUGGGUUGUGAUUGGAUGAUCUGUUUGAGGUUCGAUAUUGUUUAUCUGUGAAUAAUUAAUCACGGUAUGAACCACUUUAUGUGAAAGUGAGUAUAAAAGGGAAUUUGAGGUGGAAUUGAGAAGUUGAUAAAAGAGUAAAUUUAGAUUAACUUUGGUUUAUUAUUAUUUUUCUUUAAUUCGGAAUGAGCAUGAAUAUUGUUGGAACAUGAUAGUAUCAUAAGAGGAUGAAAUUGGCAGGCAAAUGAUAGGCUGGGUAGGCAAAUUUGAGAAUAAUAAUUUGUUGAGUGUUUGAAGAUGUGUGUGAAUGAUUCAUUAUAUUUUAUCACAUAAAAAUUGAAAUUAUACUCGUUUGGCCAGGAAAUGCCCCGAGGGGUUUGUAUUGAUUUAUUCGAAGAAUGCUCCAAAGUAUCAUGUAUGCAGAGGAGGCUCGUGAUCAAGGUCCGAGGUAUCGGGUAAGGCAUUGGAGUGUAGUUUUAGGAUUUGCUUAGAAUAAGAUUUAUGUUUUUGCAUUUUUUUCUAUUUUUGGAUUGUAUAAUUGGACUGGACACUAUAUUUUGGAUUGGUUUUGUUUUGUGUGUUUGAUUGUUUUAUGUGUUGUGUAGUUUAUAC
This 1370-nucleotide long non-coding RNA is filed under the name Capsicum annuum. RNAcentral describes it as "long non-coding RNA (CANN_LNC015361)". The record is from RNAcentral. Lineage: Eukaryota; Viridiplantae; Streptophyta; Magnoliopsida; Solanales; Solanaceae.